AUUGAACGCUGGCGGCAGGCCUAACACAUGCAAGUCGAACGAGUGGCGGACGGGUGAGUAAUGUCUGGGAAACUGCCCGAUGGAGGGGGGUGACUACUGGAAACGGUAGCUAAUACCGCAUACCAUCGGAUGUGCCCAGAUGGGAUUAGCUAGUAGGUGGGGUAACGGCUCACCUAGGCGACGAUCCCUAGCUGGUCUGAGAGGAUGACCAGCCACACCGGAACUGAGACACGGUCCCGACUCCUACGGGAGGCAGGAGUGGGGAAUAUUGCACAAUGGGCGCAAGCCUGAUGGAGCCAUGCCGGGGGGAUGAAGAAGGCCUUCGGGUUGUAAAGUACUUUCCGCGGGGAGGCGUUACCUGCAGAAGAAGCCCCGGCUAACUCCGUGCCAGCCGCCGCGGUAAUAC
Molecule: ribosomal RNA, 406 nt
Filed under: uncultured bacterium
Lineage: Bacteria
Description: partial 16S ribosomal RNA
Rfam family: Bacterial small subunit ribosomal RNA
Source: RNAcentral